Molecule: ribosomal RNA, 1318 nt
Filed under: Staphylococcus aureus
Lineage: Bacteria; Bacillati; Bacillota; Bacilli; Caryophanales; Staphylococcaceae
Also listed under: 1 other name
Description: bacterial SSU rRNA
Rfam family: Bacterial small subunit ribosomal RNA
Source: RNAcentral
CGCGCUGCAUUAGCUAGUUGGUAAGGUAACGGCUUACCAAGGCAACGAUGCAUAGCCGACCUGAGAGGGUGAUCGGCCACACUGGAACUGAGACACGGUCCAGACUCCUACGGGAGGCAGCAGUAGGGAAUCUUCCGCAAUGGGCGAAAGCCUGACGGAGCAACGCCGCGUGAGUGAUGAAGGUCUUCGGAUCGUAAAACUCUGUUAUUAGGGAAGAACAUAUGUGUAAGUAACUGUGCACAUCUUGACGGUACCUAAUCAGAAAGCCACGGCUAACUACGUGCCAGCAGCCGCGGUAAUACGUAGGUGGCAAGCGUUAUCCGGAAUUAUUGGGCGUAAAGCGCGCGUAGGCGGUUUUUUAAGUCUGAUGUGAAAGCCCACGGCUCAACCGUGGAGGGUCAUUGGAAACUGGAAAACUUGAGUGCAGAAGAGGAAAGUGGAAUUCCAUGUGUAGCGGUGAAAUGCGCAGAGAUAUGGAGGAACACCAGUGGCGAAGGCGACUUUCUGGUCUGUAACUGACGCUGAUGUGCGAAAGCGUGGGGAUCAAACAGGAUUAGAUACCCUGGUAGUCCACGCCGUAAACGAUGAGUGCUAAGUGUUAGGGGGUUUCCGCCCCUUAGUGCUGCAGCUAACGCAUUAAGCACUCCGCCUGGGGAGUACGACCGCAAGGUUGAAACUCAAAGGAAUUGACGGGGACCCGCACAAGCGGUGGAGCAUGUGGUUUAAUUCGAAGCAACGCGAAGAACCUUACCAAAUCUUGACAUCCUUUGACAACUCUAGAGAUAGAGCUUUCCCCUUCGGGGGACAAAGUGACAGGUGGUGCAUGGUUGUCGUCAGCUCGUGUCGUGAGAUGUUGGGUUAAGUCCCGCAACGAGCGCAACCCUUAAGCUUAGUUGCCAUCAUUAAGUUGGGCACUCUAAGUUGACUGCCGGUGACAAACCGGAGGAAGGUGGGGAUGACGUCAAAUCAUCAUGCCCCUUAUGAUUUGGGCUACACACGUGCUACAAUGGACAAUACAAAGGGCAGCGAAACCGUGAGGUCAAGCAAAUCCCAUAAAGUUGUUCUCAGUUCGGAUUGUAGUCUGCAACUCGACUACAUGAAGCUGGAAUCGCUAGUAAUCGUAGAUCAGCAUGCUACGGUGAAUACGUUCCCGGGUCUUGUACACACCGCCCGUCACACCACGAGAGUUUGUAACACCCGAAGCCGGUGGAGUAACCUUUUAGGAGCUAGCCGUCGAAGGUGGGACAAAUGAUUGGGGUGAAGUCGUAACAAGGUAGCCGUAUCGGAAGGUGCGGCUGGAUCACCUCCUUUCUAAGGA